RNAcentral lists this long non-coding RNA (835 nucleotides) under Brassica napus (rape). Its description in RNAcentral is "long non-coding RNA (BNAP_LNC012963)". Lineage: Eukaryota; Viridiplantae; Streptophyta; Magnoliopsida; Brassicales; Brassicaceae. The record is from RNAcentral.
UUCCAUAAUUGGUGAGUUUUUGAUUUUUGUCAACCAUAACAUUAUUAUUUAAAACCCAUAACUUUUCCAGAUGGUACAAUAUUGAAGUUCAAAGCCCAAAACUUUCUAUUAAAGAGAAACUUGAUAAAAUAUUAUUUGCAAAAAAAAAAAAAACUUGAUAAAAUACGUGUAAGGCUUGAAUUGCUUUAUGUAGCCAUCUUCUCUUCUAACAACGUGACUGCUACAUGCAAACUUCCACCACGUUGACUGUUCCUCCAGCGAAGGUCUUCCACCUCUUCCCACCGUGAAGCAACAUCUUACAAUAAGCUUGAACCUUCUGAUCAAGCAAUUUUCACCUUACUACCUUAAAAACAUUGCUAAGCAGUUUAUGAAUCACAUGAAAGAUAGAACAAGGAACGUUCGAAAUCAAUCAAAGGGAGAUCUUUGUUUGACCGUUACUUCACUAGAAGAAAGUCGGCUCUACUGAAUCUUCUUCUAACUGAACAAUAAAUUCCAACAUACCCAUAAUCUUUUAAUCAGAGAGACUCUACUCUAAUACAAGGGAAAAAUUAAAUGAGUAGAGAUUUAUACUCCUGGAAAGAUUUAUGGAUAAUAAAAUGACCACAAAACCCAACAAAGCAAACAAAAUCUAAAGCAUGUUAAAGGGGCAAAAGCAAGAGAACAACACACCAAAAACUAAAACGAAUUGAAAAUCCCACAAGGAAUCAAAAUCGAUCAUAAGAUCAAAAAUAUUUACAUAAAAACAACUAAAUCAUCAUCAUCAGUCUGAAAGAUUAAGAAUUUGUUAAGAGAGAGAUGAAGAAAGAAAUUUCUCUCUCUAAGAUAGACGAGAGAG